GACGAACGCUGGCGGCGUGCUUAACACAUGCAAGUCGAACGGAAAGGCCCUGCUUUUGUGGGGUGCUCGAGUGGCGAACGGGUGAGUAACACGUGAGUAACCUGCCCUUGACUUUGGGAUAACUUCAGGAAACUGGGGCUAAUACCGGAUAGGAGCUCCUGCUGCAUGGUGGGGGUUGGAAAGUUUCGGCGGUUGGGGAUGGACUCGCGGCUUAUCAGCUUGUUGGUGGGGUAGUGGCUUACCAAGGCUUUGACGGGUAGCCGGCCUGAGAGGGUGACCGGCCACAUGGGGACUGAGAUACGGCCCAGACUCCGACGGGAGGCAGCAGUGGGGAAUAUUGCACAAUGGGCGGAAGCCUGAUGCAGCAACGCCGCGUGCGGGAUGACGGCCUUCGGGUUGUAAACCGCUUUCGCCUGUGACGAAGCGUGAGUGACGGUAAUGGGUAAAGAAGCACCGGCGAACUACGU
This 467-nucleotide ribosomal RNA is filed under the name uncultured bacterium. RNAcentral describes it as "partial 16S ribosomal RNA". It matches the Rfam family "Bacterial small subunit ribosomal RNA", at positions 28 to 506 of the family's 1533-position model. The record is from RNAcentral.